GGGGCCAAAGCCAGGACUUUGAGACCGGCGCGCGGUCAAGCCCAGGCAGCUCUCCCUAACCCUCCAGCACUGGGCAAACGCUGCCCGAUGACGCCCGCCUCGGGGGCCACGGCAUCACUGGGGCGACUGCGAGCCCGGCCGCGGAGCCGCUGGGACGCGGCUUACCUCCCGGCUGUCGCUGCUGUGUGUGUUGCCCGCGCCAGUCACGUCCCUAAUGGGACCCUCCGUUUCGGCGUCUGUAAGGCGAGGAGGACGAUGCGUCCCCUCCCUCGCAGGAUUGAGGAUUUCCAGGUCCCAGAUGAAGAGAUAAUUCUACUUACUGGAUAUAGGAUGCAUUAGAUCUUCUUACCUUAAAAAAAAAAAAAAAGGCAGCAAUGAUCAAAAUACUAAUAAAUUACUCACAGACUCAGUGUAUUUUUUCUUGGAGUAAAAGUCCAGGAUGGGUAAUAGAAUACCUGCUGUUGGCUUUUGGAAAAAUUGGUACUGUAUGUAGCAAAAUAAUGUGAAACCCAUAUGCAUGGAUAUUCUUAACAAUUUGAAGAAAUCGUCACAGCUUUCCUGGGUUGUUGAGCCUCUAAGAUGGUCUUUUCCUCUGAUGUGAUAAUAAAGUGUUUAUUCUGAACUCUACAUGCACGUAGUGUUUGGUCAGUAAACUUCUGUUACUCAUGACUCAUUACAUUAGUCAACAAAUUUUGUAUAUUUGCCUUUCACGAUGAUGAUGAUGGUAAGAGCCCAUCUACAAAAGCUUAUUAAAGACUCAGGAUGUGCAAGA
RNAcentral lists this long non-coding RNA (772 nucleotides) under Homo sapiens (human). RNAcentral describes it as "TYMS opposite strand RNA". The record is from RNAcentral. Lineage: Eukaryota; Metazoa; Chordata; Mammalia; Primates; Hominidae.